GGUUUGUCUGAAGGAUCUAGGGUUAAUUGGGAAGCUUUUUCUUUUGAGGGGAAUGUUGUCUGGCUCGAGGCCACUAACUAGAUCUUUGAUUUAAUCUCAGUUGAUCAUAUAUUUGUUUCAUUUUUCUUCCAUAAAAUUUAAUUAUAUUGAGAUACCCAUCAUUGAUCUUAAGAUAAUUAAGUUAGUGACGUCGGACCAGGCUUCAUUCCCCCCAAUAAUUGCUUCUAUCUGCUAUGAUAUCAUCUUCAUUUCUUGGAGGUGCUGUGAUCAGUUCUCAAACUUUAGUUGAUUUUUUCACAAUUUUUCUUUUUGUUUAAUUUAUUGAUCUUGUGUUGUGUAUAUUUGUAUGGUCAACGGAGAGAUCUUGGUCAUUGGCCAUGAGCAGAUUGGUGUAAUGAUGAAAGAUUUUGACUG
RNAcentral lists this microRNA precursor (414 nucleotides) under Citrus trifoliata (trifoliate orange). RNAcentral describes it as "miR166 stem-loop (ctr-MIR166)". Its record names the gene ctr-MIR166. The stretch from base 43 to 216 matches the Rfam family "mir-166 microRNA precursor family". Lineage: Eukaryota; Viridiplantae; Streptophyta; Magnoliopsida; Sapindales; Rutaceae. The record is from miRBase by way of RNAcentral.